GGGUUGUGAGGUUAAGCGACUAAGCGUACACGGUGGAUGCCCUGGCAGUCAGAGGCGAUGAAGGACGUGCUAAUCUGCGAUAAGCGUCGGUAAGGUGAUAUGAACCGUUAUAACCGGCGAUUUCCGAAUGGGGAAACCCAGUGUGAUUCGUCACACUAUCAUUAACUGAAUCCAUAGGUUAAUGAGGCGAACCGGGGGAACUGAAACAUCUAAGUACCCCGAGGAAAAGAAAUCAACCGAGAUUCCCCCAGUAGCGGCGAGCGAACGGGGAGCAGCCCAGAGCCUGAAUCAGUGUGUGUGUUAGUGGAAGCGUCUGGAAAGGCGCGCGAUACAGGGUGACAGCCCCGUACACAAAAAUGCACAUGCUGUGAGCUCGAUGAGUAGGGCGGGACACGUGGUAUCCUGUCUGAAUAUGGGGGGACCAUCCUCCAAGGCUAAAUACUCCUGACUGACCGAUAGUGAACCAGUACCGUGAGGGAAAGGCGAAAAGAACCCCGGCGAGGGGAGUGAAAAAGAACCUGAAACCGUGUACGUACAAGCAGUGGGAGCACGCUUAGGCGUGUGACUGCGUACCUUUUGUAUAAUGGGUCAGCGACUUAUAUUCUGUAGCAAGGUUAACCGAAUAGGGGAGCCGAAGGGAAACCGAGUCUUAACUGGGCGUUAAGUUGCAGGGUAUAGACCCGAAACCCGGUGAUCUAGCCAUGGGCAGGUUGAAGGUUGGGUAACACUAACUGGAGGACCGAACCGACUAAUGUUGAAAAAUUAGCGGAUGACUUGUGGCUGGGGGUGAAAGGCCAAUCAAACCGGGAGAUAGCUGGUUCUCCCCGAAAGCUAUUUAGGUAGCGCCUCGUGAAUUCAUCUCCGGGGGUAGAGCACUGUUUCGGCAAGGGGGUCAUCCCGACUUACCAACCCGAUGCAAACUGCGAAUACCGGAGAAUGUUAUCACGGGAGACACACGGCGGGUGCUAACGUCCGUCGUGAAGAGGGAAACAACCCAGACCGCCAGCUAAGGUCCCAAAGUCAUGGUUAAGUGGGAAACGAUGUGGGAAGGCCCAGACAGCCAGGAUGUUGGCUUAGAAGCAGCCAUCAUUUAAAGAAAGCGUAAUAGCUCACUGGUCGAGUCGGCCUGCGCGGAAGAUGUAACGGGGCUAAACCAUGCACCGAAGCUGCGGCAGCGACGCUGAUGCGUUGUUGGGUAGGGGAGCGUUCUGUAAGCCUGCGAAGGUGUGCUGUGAGGCAUGCUGGAGGUAUCAGAAGUGCGAAUGCUGACAUAAGUAACGAUAAAGCGGGUGAAAAGCCCGCUCGCCGGAAGACCAAGGGUUCCUGUCCAACGUUAAUCGGGGCAGGGUGAGUCGACCCCUAAGGCGAGGCCGAAAGGCGUAGUCGAUGGGAAACAGGUUAAUAUUCCUGUACUUGGUGUUACUGCGAAGGGGGGACGGAGAAGGCUAUGUUGGCCGGGCGACGGUUGUCCCGGUUUAAGCGUGUAGGCUGGUUUUCCAGGCAAAUCCGGAAAAUCAAGGCUGAGGCGUGAUGACGAGGCACUACGGUGCUGAAGCAACAAAUGCCCUGCUUCCAGGAAAAGCCUCUAAGCAUCAGGUAACAUCAAAUCGUACCCCAAACCGACACAGGUGGUCAGGUAGAGAAUACCAAGGCGCUUGAGAGAACUCGGGUGAAGGAACUAGGCAAAAUGGUGCCGUAACUUCGGGAGAAGGCACGCUGAUAUGUAGGUGAAGCGACUUGCUCGUGGAGCUGAAAUCAGUCGAAGAUACCAGCUGGCUGCAACUGUUUAUUAAAAACACAGCACUGUGCAAACACGAAAGUGGACGUAUACGGUGUGACGCCUGCCCGGUGCCGGAAGGUUAAUUGAUGGGGUUAGCGCAAGCGAAGCUCUUGAUCGAAGCCCCGGUAAACGGCGGCCGUAACUAUAACGGUCCUAAGGUAGCGAAAUUCCUUGUCGGGUAAGUUCCGACCUGCACGAAUGGCGUAAUGAUGGCCAGGCUGUCUCCACCCGAGACUCAGUGAAAUUGAACUCGCUGUGAAGAUGCAGUGUACCCGCGGCAAGACGGAAAGACCCCGUGAACCUUUACUAUAGCUUGACACUGAACAUUGAGCCUUGAUGUGUAGGAUAGGUGGGAGGCUUUGAAGUGUGGACGCCAGUCUGCAUGGAGCCGACCUUGAAAUACCACCCUUUAAUGUUUGAUGUUCUAACGUGGACCCGUAAUCCGGGUUGCGGACAGUGUCUGGUGGGUAGUUUGACUGGGGCGGUCUCCUCCUAAAGAGUAACGGAGGAGCACGAAGGUUGGCUAAUCCUGGUCGGACAUCAGGAGGUUAGUGCAAUGGCAUAAGCCAGCUUGACUGCGAGCGUGACGGCGCGAGCAGGUGCGAAAGCAGGUCAUAGUGAUCCGGUGGUUCUGAAUGGAAGGGCCAUCGCUCAACGGAUAAAAGGUACUCCGGGGAUAACAGGCUGAUACCGCCCAAGAGUUCAUAUCGACGGCGGUGUUUGGCACCUCGAUGUCGGCUCAUCACAUCCUGGGGCUGAAGUAGGUCCCAAGGGUAUGGCUGUUCGCCAUUUAAAGUGGUACGCGAGCUGGGUUUAGAACGUCGUGAGACAGUUCGGUCCCUAUCUGCCGUGGGCGCUGGAGAAUUGAGGGGGGCUGCUCCUAGUACGAGAGGACCGGAGUGGACGCAUCACUGGUGUUCGGGUUGUCAUGCCAAUGGCACUGCCCGGUAGCUAAAUGCGGAAGAGAUAAGUGCUGAAAGCAUCUAAGCACGAAACUUGCCCCGAGAUGAGUUCUCCCUGACUCCUUGAGAGUCCUGAAGGAACGUUGAAGACGACGACGUUGAUAGGCCGGGUGUGUAAGCGCAGCGAUGCGUUGAGCUAACCGGUACUAAUGAACCGUGAGGCUUAACCUUACAACGCCGAAGGUGUUU
This 2931-nucleotide ribosomal RNA is filed under the name Escherichia coli. Its description in RNAcentral is "23S ribosomal RNA". It matches the Rfam family "Bacterial large subunit ribosomal RNA". Lineage: Bacteria; Pseudomonadati; Pseudomonadota; Gammaproteobacteria; Enterobacterales; Enterobacteriaceae. The record is from RNAcentral.